This 813-nucleotide ribosomal RNA is filed under the name uncultured bacterium. Its description in RNAcentral is "bacterial SSU rRNA". It matches the Rfam family "Bacterial small subunit ribosomal RNA", at positions 78 to 870 of the family's 1533-position model. The record is from RNAcentral.
GCAUUCACUGUAAGAAGUUGAGUGGCGGACGGGUGAGUAACACGUGGGUAACCUGCCUAAAAGAAGGGGAUAACACUUGGAAAUAGGUGCUAAUACCGUAUAUCUCUAAGGAUCGCAUGAUCCUUAGAUGAAAGAUGGUUCUGCUAUCGCUUUUAGAUGGACCCGCGGCGUAUUAACUAGUUGGUGGGGUAACGGCCUACCAAGGUGAUGAUACGUAGCCGAACUGAGAGGUUGAUCGGCCACAUUGGGACUGAGACACGGCCCAAACUCCUACGGGAGGCAGCAGUAGGGAAUCUUCCACAAUGGACGCAAGUCUGAUGGAGCAACGCCGCGUGAGUGAAGAAGGUCUUCGGAUCGUAAAACUCUGUUGUUAGAGAAGAACACGAGUGAGAGUAACUGUUCAUUCGAUGACGGUAUCUAACCAGCAAGUCACGGCUAACUACGUGCCAGCAGCCGCGGUAAUACGUAGGUGGCAAGCGUUGUCCGGAUUUAUUGGGCGUAAAGGGAACGCAGGCGGUCUUUUAAGUCUGAUGUGAAAGCCUUCGGCUUAACCGGAGUAGUGCAUUGGAAACUGGAAGACUUGAGUGCAGAAGAGGAGAGUGGAACUCCAUGUGUAGCGGUGAAAUGCGUAGAUAUAUGGAAGAACACCAGUGGCGAAAGCGGCUCUCUGGUCUGUAACUGACGCUGAGGUUCGAAAGCGUGGGUAGCAAAACAGGAUUAGAUACCCUGGUAGUCCACGCCGUAAACGAUGAAUGCUAGGUGUUGGAGGGUUUCCGCCCUUCAGUGCCGCAGCUUAACGCAAUUAAGCAUUCC